Molecule: ribosomal RNA, 481 nt
Filed under: uncultured bacterium
Lineage: Bacteria
Description: partial 16S ribosomal RNA
Rfam family: Bacterial small subunit ribosomal RNA
Source: RNAcentral
GCUUAACACAUGCAAGUCGAGCGAGAAUCGUUUAUUGAAGGCUUCGGCUGGAAAUAGAUGAGGAAAGCGGCGAACGGGUGAGUAACGCGUGGGCAACCUGGCCUUAAGAAAAGGAUAGCCCCCGGAAACGGGGAGUAAUACUUUAUGAGAAUGAAAGAGGGCAUCCUACUUUCAUUCAAAGCGCAAGCGCUUAAGGAUGGGCCCGCGUAUCAUUAGCUAGUUGGUGAGAUAACAGCCCACCAAGGCAACGAUGAUUAGCCGGUCUGAGAGGGCGAACGGCCACAUUGGAACUGAGAGUCGGUCCAAACUCCUACGGGAGGCAGCAGUGGGGAAUAUUGCGCAAUGGAGAAGAACUCUGACGCAGCAAUACCGCGUGAGCGAAGAAGGUCUUCGGAUCGUAAAGCUCUGUUAUCAGGGAAGAAGAAAAUGACGGUACCUGAUGAGCAAGUCCCGGCUAACUACGUGCCAGCCGCCGCAGUAA